UGCCAGCAGCCGCGGUAAUACGAACCGUCCAAACAUUAUUCGGAAUCACUGGGCUUAAAGGGUGCGUAGGCGGCCCGGGUAGUUGGGUGUGAAAUCCCUCGGCUCAACCGAGGAAUGGCGCCCAAAACUGCCGGGCUUGAGGGAGACAGAGGUGAGCGGAACUUCGGGUGGAGCGGUGAAAUGCGUUGAUAUCCGAAGGAACACCGGUGGCGAAAGCGGCUCACUGGGUCUUUGCUGACGCUGAGGCACGAAAGCUAGGGGAGCGAACGGGAUUAGAUACCCCGGUAGUCCUAGCCGUAAACGAUGAGCACUGGAUCGGAGGGUCCACCAUAGCCUUCCGGUCAGUAGCGAAAGCGUUAAGUGCUCCGCCUGGGGAGUAUGGUCGCAAGGCUGAAACUCAAAGGAAUUGGCGGGGG
RNAcentral lists this ribosomal RNA (416 nucleotides) under uncultured bacterium. RNAcentral describes it as "bacterial SSU rRNA". It matches the Rfam family "Bacterial small subunit ribosomal RNA", at positions 506 to 919 of the family's 1533-position model. The record is from RNAcentral.